This 236-nucleotide ribosomal RNA is filed under the name uncultured bacterium. RNAcentral describes it as "partial 16S ribosomal RNA". It matches the Rfam family "Bacterial small subunit ribosomal RNA", at positions 524 to 760 of the family's 1533-position model. The record is from RNAcentral.
UACGGAGGGUGCGAGCGUUGUCCGGAAUCACUGGGCGUAAAGAGCUCGUAGGCGGUCUGUUACGUCUGCUGUGAAAACCCAGGGCUUAACCCUAGGCUUGCAGUGGAUACGGGCAGACUAGAGGCAGGUAGGGAGAAUGGAAUUCCCGGUGUAGCGGUGAAAUGCGCAGAUAUCGGGAGGAACACCGGUGGCGAAGGCGGUUCUCUGGGCCUGACCUGACGCUGAGGAGCGAAAGC